Molecule: transfer RNA, 74 nt
Filed under: Calditrichota bacterium
Lineage: Bacteria; Pseudomonadati; Calditrichota
Description: Calditrichaeota bacterium tRNA-Val
Rfam family: tRNA
About the family: Transfer RNA (tRNA) molecules are approximately 80 nucleotides in length. Their secondary structure includes four short double-helical elements and three loops (D, anti-codon, and T loops). Further hydrogen bonds mediate the characteristic L-shaped molecular structure. tRNAs have two regions of fundamental functional importance: the anti-codon, which is responsible for specific mRNA codon recognition, and the 3' end, to which the tRNAs corresponding amino acid is attached (by aminoacyl-tRNA synthetases). tRNAs cope with the degeneracy of the genetic code in two manners: having more than one tRNA (with a specific anti-codon) for a particular amino acid; and 'wobble' base-pairing, i.e. permitting non-standard base-pairing at the 3rd anti-codon position.
Source: RNAcentral
GGGGGAUUAGCUCAGUUGGUUAGAGCGCUUGCUUGACAUGCAAGAGGUCAAUGGUUCAACUCCGUUAUCUCCCA